GAUGACAAUGAAGUUCCAAGUCCAGUUGGCGAGCCAGCUUGGAGGGUGACCUGCGUUCGCCGGUGUUCCCAUGUGCCUGCUGCCCUUGCCCUUCUCGAUGGCAAGGAUUAUGGGCUUGGGAGGCAUUGUCAGAGCCACACCUGAUUCUACCACUCACCUACACACUGGGAGAAAUCUGCUGCAGCCAGUUGAUUCGCUGAACCAGAACCAUUUGGGUUGUAGGAGAGAACCAGAGCGUCCAGAAGAAACCCAUGCAGUCAAAGGGAGAACAUGCAAACUCCACACAGAUAGCACCAGAGGCCAGGGUUGAAUCUGUGCGACCGGCUCUCCAUGCUCCAUCCCUGAGCGUCCAGAAGAAACCCAUGCAGUCAAAGGGAGAACAUGCAAACUCCACACAGAUAGCACCAGAGGCCAGGGUUGAAUCUGUGCGACCGGCUUUCCAUGCUCCAUCCCAGAGCGGCCUUAUUAUGUAUUCAUUUUUAGAACAUGAGCUUCACAGACAAGGCCUGUGUAUACUGCCUAUCCCUCACUGCCCUUGAGAAGCUGUCUGGUGAAGAAACCUUCUUCAAGCAAUACUGCUUAUGUGAGGGGAAAACCCAGAGAGCCAUUGGACAGGGGUUCCAUGAUUUAGGCCAGCAAAAUCAGUACAAAGCCAAAUAAUCCCAAUUUAGGUUGGUGCUUGAUUUGGAGGGAUUCAGCAAGUGGUGGUAUUCUCAUGUGCUUGCUGCCCUGGUUCUUCUUGACGAUAGUCGUUUGUGGGAUGCUGUCAGAGUGGCUGAGCUGAGUAACUACAGUGCAUUUUGUGGAUGGUACGCUCUACAGAUGCACUGUAGGGAUUGAAUGCUGGGAGUGCUGGAUGGUGUACUAACCACAUGGGCUGCGUUUUCUUUUUGUUAAUGAGCUUCUUGAGCAUUUUUCUUUCAGACAGUUGAAGAUUAAUCCACCACGCUCCUGACUUUGCCAUGUAGAUGAUGCUAAUCUUUGGGGUGUUUUAUACUUCUCAUCUUUUCAUCACCUAUAAAACUUCCACCUUCAUUUAUGCUUCUAUUUUUGUAGAAGCUCUUGCAAUCUUUUAUAUACACUCAGUAGACAGUUUAUUAGGUACCUCCUGCACCUCAUAAACUGGCCACUGAGUAACUGUUCUUGGUCUUCUGCUGUUGUGAUCCAUCCACAUCAGGUUUCAAAGUGCUGUGCAUUCAGAGAUGCUCUUCUGCACACCACUGUUGUAAUGCAUGGCUAUCUGAGUUACUGUCACCUUCCUUUCAGUUUGAACCAGUCUGACCAUUCUCCACUGACUUCUCCCACUAACAUGGCAUUUUUGCCCAAAGAACUGCAGUACUGGCCAUUUUUUUUUCCCUUCUCACAUCAUUCUCUGUAAACUCAAGAGACUGUUGUGCGUGAAAAUCCCAGGAGAUCAGCAGUUUCUGAGAUACUCAAACCACCCCAUCUGGCACCAACAACCAUUCCAUGGUCAAAGUCAGUUAGAUCACAUUUUGUUCUGAUACUUGGUCCGGGUAAUAUAAGAAUUCAUUUCUUUUAGAGCAAUGACAUACUCCCCCUUAGCACUACAUAUUGAUCUGUUGUCUAUACAUAUGCAUUGUUCUCUCCCUCUCAUUGCAAUGUGAAUACACCAGUUAAAAGCCAUCUCCCGUGUGAGUGCUUUUAUCUAAUACAUCGGUACUUGUGCAUAGACACAACAAAUUGGCAAUGAGUGUGAACCUGAAUGUUAGAGAAUAUCACCAACUGCACCACAGUUACGGGAUGAAACAGUGAGAGUUAAACAGCAUGAGGAGGCUGCACAGAUGUUAACAAAGACGUUAAUAACAGUGCACAGUAAUAGUGAAAGAGGUGUUGAAUUUAAAGUGAAAAUAACGUGGCGAUGGCUUCAGUCAGGGAUGUUGACAAACUUGAUAGUGCUAAUGAAGACCGCGAAUCGUAUAUUGCGAGAGUUGAACUGUAUUGUAACGUAAACAACGCAAGAGAGCAAAAGAAAGUCCCUACACAUCUUAGCUUAAUGGACCCAAGAACAUAGAGUCUCUUACAGAACCUAGUAACCCCUGCAAAGCCAAUAAGCAAGAUAUUCAAUGAAAUUGUUACAAUUUUACAAAAUCACUGGAGCCAUAAACCACUGGUAAUAGCUGAGAGAUUUUCGGCCCUUCGAGCCUGCACCGCCAUUUUGAGAUCAUGGCUGAUCAUCUACUAUCAAUAUCCAGUUUCUGUCUUGACCCCAUAUCCCUUGAUUCCCCUAUCCAUAAGAUACCUAUCUAGCUCCUUCUUGAAAGCAUCCAGAGAAUUGGCCUCUACUGCCUUCCAAGGCAGUGCAUUCCAGACCCCCACAACUCUCUGGGAGAAGAAGUUUUUCCUUAACUCUGUCCUAAAUGACCUACCCCUUAUUCUCAAACCAUGCCUUCUGGUACUGGACUCUCCCAGCAUCUGGAACAUAUUUCCUGCCUCUAUCUUGUCCAAUCCCUUAAUAAUCUUAUAUGUUGCAAUCAGAUCCCCUCUCAAUCUCCUUAAUUCCAGCGUGUACAAGCCCAGUCUCUCUAACCUCUCUGCGUAAGACAGUCUGGACAUCCCAGGAAUUAACCUCGUGAAUCUACGCUGCACUUCCUCUACAGACUGGAUGUCCUUCCUUAACCCUGGAGACCAAAACUGUACACAAUACUCCAGGUGUGGUCUCACCAGGGCCCUGUACAAAUGCAAGAGGAUUUCCUUGCUCUUGUACUCAAUUCCCUUUGUAAUAAAGGCCAAUAUUCCAUUAGCCUUCUUCACUGCCUGCUGCACUUGCUCAUUCACCUUCAGUGACUGAUGAACAAGGACUCGUAGAUUUAGAUUUUACAAAAGAAACCAAUCAAAAGAUGAAAGCCUUUCUGAAUACAUUGCAGAACUACUCAAGAUUUCCCUGUACUAUUACUUUAGAGAUGGACUGCUGUAUGCAUUAAGGGUCAGGCUUGCAUGUGGCAUGCAUAGUCAAAGUGCUUAAAAGAGGCUAUUAUCUGAAAGAGUCCUAACCUUAGAAGGGGCAUUGUCCAUUGCAAUAUUGUUGGAGACUGCAACAAAGAAUGCAGCAUAACUACAGAAAAGAAGUUAGAAUGUGAAAUGCACAAAAUGUCCCUGAAUAGUGCAAAAAGCCAAAGAUGUUGUCAAAGUGGCAAAUCCUCCCAUGAUAAGACCAUAAGACAUAGGAACAGAAUUAGGCCAUUCAGCCCAUCAAGUCUGCUCCGCCAUUCCAACAUGUCAGAUCCCAGAUCCCACUCAACCCCAUACUCCUGCUUUCUCACCAUAUCCUUUGAUGCCCUGACCAAUCAGGAAAUGAUUAACUUCCACCUUAAAUAUAUGCAUGGACUUGGCCUCCACUGCAGUCUGUUACAGAGCAUUCCACAUCUCUGGCUAAAAAAAAUCCUACUUACCUCUGUUCUAAAGGGCCGCCCCUCAAUUUUGAAGCUGUGCCCCUUAGUCCUGGAUACCCCCACCAUAGAAAACAUCCUCUCCAUAUACACCCUAUCUAAUUCUUUCAACAUUUGGUAGGUUUCAAUGAGAUCCCCCUGCAUUCUUCUAACUUUCAGUGAAUGCAGGUCCGAUGCUCCUCAUAUGGAGUUGGAUACUGGGUCAACUUGUCCAUAAUUCCAGAGGCUGACUCAGCAGAACUACAGUCUGCUUUCUAAUAUAACAUUAGAGAAGGCCCCUGUGAUGCAAAAGACUUACACAGGUGAAAAAGUGUCUCCCAAAGGCAAACUGAAAGUAAGUAUGAUGUAUAGAGGCUAAACACAAUAGUUAGAAUUUUAUGUAUUGAAAAUUGGAGGGCCAGUGCCUUUCAGAAGUGAAUGGUUGAGAAAAAUCCAACUAGACUGGCACUCAAUCAAAGCUAUCAGUGUGACAUCAGCCCAAAUAGUAGCACUAAUCAGAGGCUGGAAGGUUGCUUAAUGCUAAUGAGAAGGUGCUUGAGAACAGGAUUGGUAAACUCAAAGGCAGGAAGGCCAGAAAUGAACUGGAUGAAACAGCAACACCAAGAUUCCAUAAAGCACAUCUAGUGCCUUAAGCACUACACCCUAAAGUGAUGCUGAACUGCAGAGCUGGGAGGCAUCUGAAAUUGUCUCCAAAGUCGGGUGGAGUGAUUGGGCCAUGCCCAUUGUCCCGGUGAUCAAGAAAGGAAAGGCCGGCACCAUUCGCAUACGUGGUGAUUUCAAAGUGAGCAUCAAACCAGUGCUGUGUACUAUGCAGUAUACCCUGCCAUUUUUGCACCUUUGGCAGGCCAGGAGAGGCUUUCAGAGAUUCACUUGUCACAAACCUGUCUGCAAAUGGAGAUUGAGGAGUCAACCACAAAGUUCCUCACAAUCAACACUCUCAAGGGACUGUUCCAGUAUAAUCGCCUCGUCUUUGGUGUCACAUCAGCUCCAGCAACUUGGCAAUAAGCAAUGGACAAAUUGCUCCUAGAUAACCCAGGAACACAAUGUUACCUUGAUGACAUCAUCGUGACAGGCAAAAAUAAUGAAGAAGGCCUCCAGAACCUUGGUAAAGAGCUUACCAGGUUGAGUGAGUAUGGUCUAUGUGCAAAGAGAGAGAAAUAUGAGUUUUUCAAGAAUGAAAUCUCAUAUUGUGGCCAAAUCAUUGGCAAGCAUGGGUUACAUAAGUCACUACAGGCACCCAACUGGAAAAUGUAUCACAACUCAGGUCAUACUUGGGCCUGGUAAACUACUACCACCGGUUUCUCCCAAACAUUGCUACGGUGCUGCAUCCAUUGAAUGCCCUGUUACAGACAGGGUCAAAGUGGGAAUAGUCAGAAAGAUGUGGGGAAAAAAGCAUUCAAUGAAACAAAGAGGCUAAUAACAUCUGAUAAACUGCUCACCCAUUAUGACACAUCCCUGCCCUUUAGACUAGCAUGCAUUGUGUCCCCUUAUGGCAUUAGAGCCGUUUGGUCACACAUUAUGAAGGAUGGAUCUGAACAGCCAGUUGUGUUUGCUUCAAGAUCACUGACAAGCGCAGAAUGCAAUUACGCACAGAUCGACCGAGAGGCCCUUAGUCUAGUAUAGGGAGUAAACAAGUUCCACCACUACCUCAGUCAAAAUAACCCCACAGGCACCAUUACCCCUGUGGGAGUGCUGUCAUCACCAUGACAAAGAGUACAUAUUGACUUUGCUGGGCCACUCUUAGACUCCAUGUUUCUGAUUGCUGUGGAUGCUCAUUCGAAGUGGCUGGAGGUUACACCGAUGAAGUCAACCACCUCAGCAAAGGCUGUCUUUGCUCUGAGGACUAUCUUCGCCAGAAACAGCUUACCAGAACAAACUGUGAGUGACAACGGACCACAAUACAUGUCAGAAGAAGUCUGACUGUUCAUGAAGAAAAGUGGCAUCAGACAUUUCAAGUUAGCUCCUGCACUUUUCUAUAAUAUAUUCCAUCUGCCACUUCUAUGCCAGUUCCCCACAUCUGUUUAAGUUCUUCUACAGAAACCCUGCUUCCUCAAAACUGCCUGGCUCUCCACCUAUCUUCAUAUAUCCACAAUCUUAGCCACAAAGUCAUCAACUCCUUCAUCCAGAUCAUUGAACUACAAUGUGAAAAGAAGCGGUCCCAACACCGACCCCUGUGGCACACCAAUAGUCACGGGAACCAACCAGAAUAGGCCCCCUUUACUCUUUGCCUCCUGCCAGCCAGCCAAUGUUCCAUCCAUGCUAGUACCUUUCCUGUAUUACCAUGGGCUCUGAUUUCGUUAAGCAGCCUCAUGUGUGGCCUCUUUUCAAAGGCCUUCUGAAAAUCCAAAUAAACAACAUCCACUGACUCCCCUUUGUCCAUCCUGCCUGUUAAUUCCUCAAAGAAUUUCAAGAAAAUUUGUUAGACAAGAUUUCCCCUUUAGAUAAGAAUGCUGACUUUGGCCUAUUUUGUCAUGUGCCUCCAAGCACCCAGAAAUUUCAUCCUUAAUAAUGACUCCCUACAUCUUUCCAACCACUGCGCUCAGUUUCUUAUGUCUCCCUCUCUUCUUAAAGAAUGGAGUGACAUUUGCAACUUUCCAGUCCUCAGGAUCCAUUCCAGAAUCUCGUGAUUCUUAAAAGAUCAUUACUAAUGCUUCCAUAAUCUCUUCUUAGUAAUAACAACGACAUUCACUUCCAUCCCCCGACACCUUUGCAUUUUGGCAUUCUUUAGUGUAUCCCACAGUUGAAGACUGAUUGAAAAUACUUAGUAAAUUCAUCCGCCAUCUCUUUGUCUGCAUUACCACCUCUCCAGCAUAAUUUUCCAGUGGGCCAAUAUCCACUAUGCAGAGCAUGUCUGCAUGCAUUGAGCUGCUGCCACAUGAUCGACUGAUUAGAUUUUUGCAUUAACAAGCAAUUACACAGGUGUGCCUCAUGAAGGGGCCACUGAGUGCAUAUGUUGCUAAUUUAUUCUCAUAUUCUGCCUUUUCCCCUGUUAUCAAUUGUUUAGACAUUGAGACAACUAGAGACAAACUUAGAACCAUAGAAACAGACCCUUAUUGUCCAUAGCAUCCAUGCCAACCACGAAACCUGUUUAUGUGAAUCCCAUUUGCUUAGUUUAAGCCUAUGUCUUUCUACACUUUUCUUAUCUAUGUACCAGUCUGAAUGUCUUACAUCUGCCUCUACAAUCUCUUCAGGCAGCUUACUCUAGUAAACCUCAACUUUCUGUGUGAAAAACCUAUCCCUCAGGUCUCUUUUAAAUGUCUCCACUCUCACCUCCAACCUGUGGCCUUUGGUUUUGGACUCCCCUGACCUGGGCAAAAGAGUCUAACUACCUUUCCUGUCUAUGCCCUUCACCAUCCUAUAAAGCUCUGUAAGGCCACACCUCAAACUCAUACAUUGCUGCCUAUCCUGCCUCUCCUUAUAAUUACAGAUCUCCAUUCGAGGCAACGCCCUGGUGUUUGCACACCAAGGAAAUGGGGAAGCGGCUUUGAUGGAUUGGUUACCUUUCUCCUUCUUUUGGUUCAUGUAUCUAACUAUUCUAAUGUUACACAUUCAUCUUUUAUAUGUGCUGAGUUCUCACUGGAGAAAUUUGAGGAGCAUUGGUUUGAGGAAGUACUGUAGUGUCAGAGGUGCUGUUUCCUAGAUGCAAUUAUGUCACCAUCUACCCACUUUAGUGGGUCAUAGCACUGUUCAAAGUAUAAUAGAGGGGUUAUUGACUCAUUCCUAGCCAUUAAUACUUCCUUGUCUAGCACCAAUAGAGGUAGGCUUAGAAUCCGAAUCAUUAUCAAAAUCAUGUUUAUUAUCAUUGUCUUUCAGGAUGUGAAAUUUGUUGUUUUGAGGUGGCAGUUGAGUGCAGAGACAUAAAAUUAAAUCAAGUCAAGUCAAGUCACUUUUUAUUGUCAUUUCGACCAUAAGUGCUAGUACAGUACACAGUAAAAACGAGAUGUUUUUCAGGACCAUGGUGCUACAUGAAACAGUACAAAAACUACACUGAACUACGUGAAAACAACACAGAAAAAGAAACUACACUAGACUACAGACCUACCCAGGACUGCAUAAAGUGCACAAAACAGUGCAGGCAUUACAUUAAAUAAUAGACAAGACAAUAGGCACGGUAGAGGGCAGUAGGUUGGUGUCAGUCCAGUCUCUGGGUCUUGAGGAGUCUGAUAGAUUGGGGGAAAGAAACUGUUACAUAGUCUGGUCGUGAGAGCCCGAAUGCUCCGGUGCCUUUCCCCAGAUGGCAGGAGGAAGAAGAGUUUGUAUGAGGGGUGUAUGGGGUCCUUCAUAAUGCUGUUUGCCUUGCGGAUGCAGCGUGUGGUGUAAAAGUAGAUAGAUAGAUACGAUUGUCUGGCAUGCUGUGCACAGAUUGGCCACAAUGUUUCCUACAUUACUACAGUGACUUUACUUCAAAAACAUUUAUUUCGCUGUGACGGGUGAUGGGGUGCGCUGAGGUUGGCGACGGGUGCUGUACAAGAUCUGAUGGGGUGGAAGAAGCUGGAGCAGGGAAAUUCAGGACUGAGAAACCUCUCCACCGCACAUCAUUUAAAAUUCAACACAGACUGUACAUUUCAGACCACCGAAAGGCAAUCUCAUGGAUUUACUCAAGAAUCCUGGCCUGGUGACAUUGUCAGGACCAUGACUGAAGUUUGUCGGCAAGUUCAAGGAGCAGGCCAUGUAAUAUUUGCAACAGCAGACCCAAGGUGAGAGGCUAGGGUAAGUGCUAAAGAUGGGACUUCCUUUACGCUUCCCUUUAGAACUGAGACAGUCUACAUAAGGAAUCUUUUGCUCUCCUGUUUGGUCAGACUUGGCCUUGAUUUUCCCUCUCUCUUGUUCUUCUGUCUCCUUCUCCAUAUCCAUCUCCCCUGCCCGGGGUCUUCUGCCAUAAAUAGCGGAGAUUGGUUUACUUCCAUUUGCUUUUCACUUUCCCCUCCUUGGGCAACCACGGAACUUGACCACGUAGGAGGCAGGAGUCCGCAGCAGUUUUAACAGCCCAUCCCCUUCCAAGCUAGCUUCUGGAUCAAAGUCUGAGAUCAAGUGUUGUACUGGUGUCUAUAUACUACAGGCUUUAUUCUCUCUCCUUUAUCAGAGUGCUUUGUGCUGUACCACAGCUCUGCCCAACCUAACUUGAGGACUCUUGGCUGCCCACAGGGCAAUUAAAGUGCAAUUGCUUCACUUCUUAGGUCAAUUUGCCCCCACAUUCUUGCUUCUGAAUCAUAAGUCUGUGGAUUUCAGUCUCAUUCCGGAACAGCAGCACAUAAUGAGAGGUUGCAUUGUACAGCGUACUGGUUUAGAUGUUAAGCUGUAGUUCUGAUUGCCUGUUCAGUGAAAAUAUAAAACCCCAUAAAUUACUCUAAAUGGAGUCCUUGUAUCUCAGUCAAUGUUCCACCCUCAACCGACACCACAACUAUCAGUUUAAACCAUCAUUGACCUCACCUGCUGUUUGCAGGUUUUCGUCUGCAUAUGAAGUGCCAAUGAGUGUGAUUUAACUCCAAGAGAUAAUUAAUUAAAUGUGAAAUGCUGUUCACUGUCCCAAGACUGAUACCGUUAUGUAAAUACUUUGUUACCAAUGAAGUAAAGAUUUUUUUUCCUGAACUUUUGUGAGGCCAUAUCAAUUUUGAGUGAAGAUUUAUGGAAUCACUUUAACAUUGUCAAUAUUUAGAAAAUUACUUUGAUUUACUGAGGAAUACAUCAAAUUUCUGUCAGAAUCUGCUUCAUCUAACUACUUCCUCAAAAAAGACCCUGUGCUUUUCACAAAUCAUCUUUGCAAAAUCAUCUUUCAUAAUCAAUUCCCUCCUUCCGGCCAAAAUAGGGCCUGUGCGAAACAUUACCAUGGUCGACAUAUUCUGUAUAGACCAAGAAACCAUAUAUUUCACUUCUUUUAUGUCUUAUGCAUUUGUUUUUUUUUGUCUUGAAUGUGAUUCUGGAAUUGUUGUAGCCUGUGAUCUGCAGUUUGGAGGUGGUUUUGCUGCUUCAGCACUCAGCAGUCUCCAAGAGGAUUCCAAGAAACAGAGGCAGGGUGUGUGAACCUCUUGGUGAGAAGGCUGCAGGACAGGGUGUGAGCUGAUUUUCGACUCCAUUUCUUUGAUUAAAGCUUCCAUUGUUCACCGAUUAAAGCAAUGAGGGAGAUUGAAACGUGGAAGGAGAGUGCCAGCUGCCUCCCAUUUGAUUAUUAAGGGAUUGGACACACUAGAGGCAGGAAACAUGUUCCCGAUGUUGGGGGAAUCCAGAACCAGAGGCCACAGUCUAAUAAUAAGGGGUAGGCCAUUUAGAAUGGAGUUCAGGAAAAACUAUUUCACCCAGAGAGUUAUGGAUCUAUGGAAUGCUCUGCCUCAGAAGGCAGUGGAGGCCAAUUCUCUGGAUGCUUUCAAGAAAGAGUUAGACAGAGCUCUUAAAGAUAGUGGAGUCAAGGGAUAUGAGGAGAAGGCAGGAACGCGAUACUGAUUGUGGAUAAUCAGCCAUGAUCACAUUGAAUGCUGGUGCUGGCACGAAGGGCCGAAUGACCUACUCCUGCACCUAUUGUCUAUUGUCUAUUAUCACUGGUGGGAUCACAUGGCUACCAGAGAGGGAAGACUGCCUUUUGAUUGCUGGUGGGAUCACUCGGCUACCGGAGAGGGGAGACUGCCCAUUGGUCAUUGGUGGAAUCACUCUGCUGUUGGAGAGGGGAGAGCCUGCUGCUGUGCCUGGAGAAUGUUACCCAGGUUUUCUGUGUUUUGGAUGUGGACUUGGACUAUGGACUUUUUUUCAGUCUUAUAGUUUUUUAUGGUCUAUGUUUUUCACCUGAUCUUUCUCGUUUAAUUGUGUGUGCGGGGGAGGCAGAUUCAGGGGUCGAUGUGCCUGUUCUGUUUUUGUUUGUAGUUUUUGUGCGGAAAGCGGGGAUUUGGAGGUUGAGGAUCGUGAUGCCGUUCUUCUCUUUGUUUCAUGGCUACCUGGAGGUUCAAGUAACACACAUGAUUCUAGAGAAACUCAAUGAACAAGGAGCAAACUAUGAAGGAAGCUUGAGAGGUGAAGUUUUGGGUCAAGGACUUUCAUCUGGAUUAAGCUAGAUGAAGUGCCUCAGCCUGAAACACUGACUGUCCAUCACCCCCAACAGAUGCUGCCUGACCUGCUGAGUUCCUCCAGCAUCUUGCAUGUCCUUCCAGAUUCCAGCAUCUGCAGUCUUUGGUGUCUCUAACCUCUUUUCUAAGACCAUAAGAUCGCAGGACACAGGAGCAGCAUUAGGUCAAUCAACCCAUCAAAUCUAUCUAACAUUCGAUCAGUGCUGAUUUAUUUUACCUCUCAACAUCAAUCUCCUACCUUCUCUCCGUAACCUUUGACAUCCUGACUAAUCAAGGACCUAUCAAACACCGCUUUAAGUAUACCCAAUAUCUUGGCCUACAUAGCCAACUGUAGUAAUGAACUCCACUGAGUCACCAUACUCUGGCUAAAAUUUCCUCCUCAUCUCUGUUCUAAAGGGACAUCUUUGUAUUUUGAGGUUGUGCCUUCUGGUCCUAGACUGUCUCACUGCUGGGAACAUAUUCUCCACAUCCAGUCUAUCUAGGGUGUUCAAUAUUCAAUAGGUUUCAAUGCGAGACCCCUUUCAUUUUUCUAAAGUAUAGUGAGUACAGGCCCAGAGCCGUCAAAAUCUGCUCAGAACCAAAAACUUUAAUUCUUAAAAUCAUUAUCUGGACACUCUCUAAUGCCAGUACAUCCUUUAUUAGAUAUAAGGCCAGAAACUGCUCACAAUACUCCAUAUGUGGUCUGAUAAAAGUCUUACAAAGUCUCAGCGUUCCAUUCUUGCUUUUAUCUUCCAGUAUUCUUGAAAUGAACGUUAACGAAGCAAUUGUCUUCCUUACUAUCGCCUCAACCUUCAAGUUAACCUUCAGGGAAUUCUACACUAGGACAUCCAAGUCUCAUUGCACCUCUGAUUUCUGAAUUCACUUCUCAUUUAUAAGAUAGUCUUUGCCUUUUCCUUAUACAUCAGUGUAAUAUCAUGUACUUCCAUUUCUCACUCCUUUCUCCAUUCUCCUGAUCUGUCCAAGUUCUUCUGCAGACUUUCUGCUUUAGUCCUAUCUGCCCCUAUACCGAUCUUUAUAUCUGCAAACUACCAAAACCAUUAAUUCUCCUAGGUAGAAUAUUAACAUAUAACGUGAAAAGAUGUGGACCCACCAGCAACCCCUGCAGAACACCACUCACCACCAGCAGCCAGCCAAAAAAUGCCUCUUUUAUUUCCACUCUUUGCCUCCUGCCAGUCAAUCUAUAUUCUGGCCAUGUUAAUAUCUUUCCUGUAAUACCAUCGUUUGUUUAUCUUGUUUUGCAGGUUCACGUGCACACCUUAUCAAAGGCCUUCUGAGAAACCAAGUAAAUAAUAUCCAUUGACUCUCCUUUGUUUGUCCUGUCUGUUAUUUCCUUAAAGAAUUCCACCAGAUUUGUCAGGCAAGGUUUCCCCUUAAGGAAACCAUGCUGACUUUGGUCCGUUUCUUCAUGUACAUCCAAAUAACCCAAAGCCUCAUCCUUAAAAAUGGCUUCUAACAUCUUGCCAAUCAGUGAGGUCAGGCUAACUAGCCUAUAAUUUCCUUUUGUCAUUAAUUGUCUUUUGCCUCCCACCCUCUUUAAGAGUGGAGUGUUAUUUGUGAUUUUCUAGUCCUCCAGAAUCUAGUCAUUCUUGAAAAAUCACUACUAUUACCUCCACAAUCUCCUCAGUUAGCUCCUUCUGAAGAGUGAGGUGCAAUCCAUCUGGGCCAGCUAACUUAUCUACCUUCAGACCUUUCAGCUUCCAAAGCACUAGUUCACAUUCUGAAGGUAAUAAUUUGUACUUACAUUCUAAAGGUAAUAGUUUGUGUUUUGGAUAAUGGUUCACGUGUCUGCCUCAAUGAAGAAUGUUGUUUGUGGAUUGUACUGCAUUGGGUAUCACAUUUCCAAAAAAAAAUGUUAUCUCUGACGAAUUUCUCCCCCUUGUGAUUUAAAAGUUAUAUCAAUGGGAUGCUCAUAAAAUUGAAGAUGCAACACCAUUCCUGCAGAGCACUGACCAAUCCAUUCUAAAUUAGCAAGAGUCUGUUGAGGACAUCUCUCAUCCCUACCAAAAUGGGGCUGCAGCGCGUUAAAAUGAGGAUGGUCACACCUUCACUGAUCCCAUUGCUUUCCUGACAUAUUCUUAAGUUAAUCUUGCUCUUUCAAAGAGGCUUGCAGAACACUCACGAUAAGGAACCCAUGUCUUUGAUCAAAUUGGCAGACUAGUUCAAUGAUGCAAUAAGAAAUUUUGGUUGAGAGGCCCAUUUGUGAUCGCACUCUCAAACCAGCUCUCACAGGAAAUGGAUGGUUAUGUGGAAAGGGUCCUGACAAGCAAGGAUUUAAACUUAAUCUUAAUGUUCCUUGUAAACGAGAGACAGUGGAAAUAUCUGGGGUUCCUCCUCCUCCAAACUCACUCAAAAUGAGAGGUGAUUUUAAAUAUAUUUAGAUCCCAAGGUGCUUGACACAGAAUUAGAAUCGGGUUUAAUAUUAUCAGCAUAUGUCAUGAAAUUUGUUGUCUUUGUGGCAGCAGUACAAUGCAAUGCAUAAUAAUAGAAAAAAAUACUUGAAUUACAGUAUGUGUGUGUGUGUGUGUGUGUGUGUGUGGUAGCGUUCAUGGGUUCAAUGUCCAUUCAGAAACUGGAUAGCAGAGGGGAAGAAGUGUGUGCCUUCAGGCUUGCUGAUGAGCAAUGAGAACAAGGCAUGACCUGUGUGAUGGGGGUCUUUAAUAAAGGAUGCCAUGCUUUGAGGAGCCGCUCCUUGAAGAUGUCCUGGAUAACUACAGAGACUGGUGCCCAUGAUGGAGCUGACUAAGCUUACAGCUCUCUGCAGCUUAUUUUGAACCUGCGCACCACGCCCCCCCCACCAAACGUAGAUGGUGAUGUAGCCAGUUAGAAUGCUCUCCAUGGUACAUCUCUAGAAAUUUGUGAGUGUCUUUGGAGGCAUACCAAUUUCCUCAAACUCCUAAUGAAAUAUAGCCACUGUUGUGCCUUCCUUCUAGCUGCUUUGAUAUGUUGGAUCCAGGAUAGAUAGAUCAUCUGAGAUUUUGAGACUCAGGAACUUGAAGUUUCUCACUCUUCCCAUGUCUGAUCAUUUUAUGAAGACUGGUGUGUGUUCCCUGAUCCUACCCUUUCUGAAGUCCACAAUCAGUUCUUUGAUCUUACUGACGUUGCUGCAACACCACUCAACUGGCUGAUAUAUCUCACUUUUCAGACAUGACCAUGCAUAUAGAUGAGGGUAGUGCAGUGGAUGUGAUCUGCAUGGAUUUUAAUAAGGCAUUUGACAAGGUUCCACAAGGUAGACUUAUUCAGAAAGUCAGAAGGCAUGGGAUCCAGGGAAUUUUGGCCAGGUGGAUUCAGAAUUGGCUUGCCUGCAGAAGGCAGAGGGUCAUGGUGGAGGGAGUACAUUCAGAUUGGAGGGUUGUGACUAGUGGUGUCCCACAAGGAUUGGUUCUGGGACCUCUACUUUUAGUGAUUUUUAUUAAUGACCUGGAUGUGGGGGUAGAAGGGUGGGUUGGCAAGUUUGCAGAUGACACAAAGGUUGGUGGUGUUGUGGAUAGUGUUGAGGAUUGUUGAAGAUUGCAGAGAGACAUUGAUAGGAUGCAGAAGUGGGCUGAGAAGUGGCAGAUGGAGUUCAACCCAGAGAAGUGUGAGGUGGUACACUUUGGAAGGACUAACUCCAAGGCAGAGUACAAAGUAAAUGGCAGGAUACUUGGGAGUGUGGAGGAGCAGAGGCUUCUGGGGGUACAUGUCCACAGAUCCCUGAAAGUUGCCUCACAGGUAGAUAGGGUCAUUAAGAAAGCUUAUGGAGUGUUAGCUUUCAUAAGUCGAUGGAUAGAGUUUAAGAGUCACGGGGUAAUGAUGCAGCUCUAUUACACUCUGGUUAGACCACGCUUGGAGUACUGUGUCCAGUUCUGGUCACCUCACUAUAGGAAGGAUGUGGAAGCAUUGGAAAAGGUACAGAGGAGAUUUAUCAGGAUGCUACCUGGUUUAGAGAGUAUGCAUUAUGAUCAGAGAUUAAAGGAUCUAGGGCUUUACUCUUUGGAGAGAAGGAGGAUGAGAGGAGACAUGAUAGAGAUAUACAAGAUAUUAAGAGGAAUAGAUAGAGUGGACAGCCAGCUCCUCUUCCCCAGGGCAUCACUGCUCAAUACAAGAGGACAUGGCUUUAAGGUAAGGGGAGAAAAGUUCAAGGGGGAUACUAGAGUAAGGUUUUUUACUCAGAGAGUGAUUGGUGCUUGGAAUGCACUGCCUGAGUCAGUGGAGGAGGCAGAUACACUAGUGAAAUUUAAGAGACUACUAGACAGGUAUAUGGAAGAAUUUAAGGAGGAGGGUUAUAUGGGAGGCAGGGUUUAAGUGUUGGCACAACAUUGUGGGCCGAAUGGCCUGUACUGUGUUGUACUGUUCUUUGUUCAUUGUUCUUUGUUCUUUAGCACACCCUCUCCAUUUGAAAUUCUGCCAACAAUAAUUGUAUCAUCAGCAAAUUUAUUUUGAGCUGUGCCUAGCCACACAGUCAUGGUUCUGGAGACAACAGAGUAGUGGGCUAAUCACACAUCCCCGAGGAGCAGUAGAUACUGUGAAUAUGUUUCCUAUGGUAAGAAAGUCCUGUGUUAGAGCAGCUUAAGUUACAGAAAUUUGUCUUCCAGAAUUUGCAACUCACUACCAAAAACUGCAAAACUAAAUAAAAAUAAGCUCAUAUGAAUUUUAAUGAGGAAAAGUAAAUAAAUAAACAUAUUUUAUUUCAACGCACAUUUCUUGACACAUUCACAAAUAACAGAAAAUCACAAUAUGGACCACUUUCGGGGAGCACAGCCUGCCAUAAUGCGGGAACAACCUUUAUCUAUGAUUAGGGAGUUUAGUCUCAUGAUACAUUUAAGACUGGAAUGAAGGAAAAUGUCUUCUCUCAAAGGUCCUAUGUCUUUGGAACUCUCUACCCCUAUAAAGCUGUGUCGUUAAGUAGAUAAUAGAUUAUUGGACUACAUGGGGGAAUCAAACAUUUUGGGAAUGAAAUAGGAAAGUAGAAUUUGGCUAAUGGUUAAACAUUCAUCAUGAGUGAUGAGUAGGCAUGAAGAACUUAUUGCCUCAUCUCCUUAUAUCCUGCUACUCACUGAAAUGAUUUCCAAGCAGAAUUGCACACUGGCAUUACAGUGGGGUGGGGGACGUUCUGUGGGCAGCAAUCACCAGCAUCUUCCGAUGUGAGCCAUUGAACCUCUUGGAUCAUUUAGCACCAAACUUGCUUUUGCAUGACAGGACACAUGAAUAGGAAGGUGCGCUGGGAAAGGGAAAUGCAUGCAUUGCAAGAUUAUCUGGGAAAGUGUAGCAGCAGCCCACUAGAUUGUUUGGAAAGCAAACUCCUUCAUUACACUCCAGUAAAAGAAAAAGGUCAUGAAUCCCAUAUAAUGAAACGUUAGGUAUUCCUUCAGUAAAGAAAAAUAUCAGACACUGAAUCACCAUAAGGGGAGCAGGUUAUUUUUAUCUAAUCUGUGGAGGAGAAAACAUGUAUUAUGCAAUAUACUUGGAGGAAAGAGGAAUUUAUAUUUUUCUCAGCCAACAUGCAUAUUACAGCACCAAGAAAAAUAAUAGAAACCCCAUAUUAGACUUCUGGAGAAAAAGGAUUGUGAAACCUUUUCUUUUAUUCUUCCAUGGAAAUGAUUUGCAUGAUACUAACUUCACUUUUUUUUUAAGUGAAGUGUACCUACCUUAAUUCACUUGCUCAGGUAGUUUCAGAAGAACUGAAGACAGUACUGGCAUUUUGCAUGUUUGGCUCAUGUAACUAAUCAGGGAGAAAAAGGGAUCAUCAAAAGGUGUGGAAUACCUCAACCAUUAUAUCAGUACUUUGCAGUGUCUUGCUCAGUCUGUGCUAAGUUGAUUUAGGUUUGAAUUUAGAUCAUUCUGCUUUGCUAAUUGAAUAAUGUUGUAACUUGUCUUCCCAUUUAGCUAGCCUGCUGCCACUGUCAUAGCUCCUACUCAAAUCACUUAAAUUAUUGUGGUAAUCACAAUGAAUGUAAGUAAUGAAAACAAUGCAAGUCUGUAACACCCUUCCAGAAGUCUUAAGACAACUUAAGCUCUAAAACCCAGGUUGAGCUUGCAGUGCAAUAUUAAGCGUGUGCUACAGGGCAAUAAUACCAUUUUCAGAAUAUUAAAAAUGUCAUUAAACCAAAGUCCCAUCUACCCUCUUAGAUAAAUUCAAGUAAUCUCAGGGCAAUGUUAGGGAAGUCAUCAUUUAAUCCUCAAGCAAUAUCAUGAUUAAUUGAUCAUUAUCAUUUUGUGUUAAUUUAAGAUUAUCAUGCAUAUGUAUUCCAACAAUGUUUCAGGGCAUUUUGUGAAUGGUGCUACAUAAUUCUUAUUGUUUCAACUCCUGUCAAAUCUUUGUUGGCCUCUAAUUUGAAGAAGACAUUUUGCAUGUAUUUGUCCAACAAGUUGUUGUACAUUUUGUUGCCUUUAGAAGUAAUAUGCCAUGCGUCCCCAAUCUUAAUGUUUCCUCCUUCAGCACCAACUUACCCCUGUUUGGAAAGAGAGGCAGAGCUCCAACAUACACAAAAUGCUGGAGGAACUCAACAGGCCAGGCAGCACCUAUGGAAAAGAAGAAGCAGUCAACGUUUUGGGUUGAGAUCCACCAUGUCAGACCUCCGCCUGGUCUAUAUAUAUUUUAUUGGAGCGGAGGGCAAACAAAUGGGCAUCGGCAUUAUUUUGCAGACAGGCAGGUACUUUCAUUAAGCGGUGUAGUGAAAUGGCAGUAAGUCCUCCAGCUCCCUAAAACAUUGGUGGUGACGUGGCCAAGCCAAACACAGAGAGUCAUGGAACGCUGUAUGACACCGAUGCCAAUUUCCCAGUGCAACAAAAUUUCAUCAUAAAUGAGGAAGUCUUUAGGGUAGACAAUGGAAUUUAAGUGGAUGAUAAUGAGGAGGAAGUGAAUGUACUUCAUUUCUAUUCAGUACUGCACGGUAUUAAGUAUCAGCAGUACACAGCAAUUCCCAUUGAGGGUGGGUUUCUAGAAACCAUAAAACAAGGCGCAUGUACUGCAGUCAUUGUAUGGUGGCCUGAUCACCAACUAUAGGAAGGAGAUCAUUCAGCUAGAAACGAUCCAAUUAAGGUCCACAAGAGUGAUCUCUAGACUGCAGGGUUUGAGUUAUAAGCGGAGACUAAGUAAGAUUUUUUCCCCCAGAGCAUAGGGGGUUGAGGUGUGUCCCAUCAAGGAAGAAAUACUGAGGUUUUAUAAAGACAUUGGCCAGACCACACGGAGCAUUGUGAGGAGAUUUGGGCCCUAUAUCUAAGAAAGAAUGUGCUGGCACUGGUGAGAGUCCAGAGGAAGUUCAUGGGAAUUACCCUAGAAAUGAAAGGGUUAAUAUAUGAGGAGCAUUUAAUGGUCUGGGCCUCGACUCACUGGAGGUAAAAAAAAAAAUGAGGGAGUUGUGAAUGACAAUGCAGAGUAAAUGUUUCCUCCAGAUGAAUGCCAGAAAGAUGGAUACCAUAACUUUUGGAUCACUCGUUGAACUCCCUUCCUUGCAUCUCUGGUUGAAUUCUCUCUCCCUGCUGAAUCAAAUGCUGCAAAAUGACAGUCGCUUGUAAAGGUGAGUUUCACAUUCCACAUGAGAACAUCGAACAGUACGACAGAGGAACAGGCCCUUCAAGCCAUCUUGUCAUGCUGAACUAAUUAAACCAGCAAUUAAAUGACCAACUAAAUUACCCCUUCUGCUGACACAAGGUCCAUGAUCCUCCAUUCUCUACAGAUGUCAUGUGCCUAUCAAAGAGCCUCCACUACCAUCCCUGGCAGCACACCCACCACUCUCUGUCUAAUAAAGCUUCUUCUUUGAACUUACUCCCUUUUCCCUAAAUGCAUGCCCUCUACUAUUAAACAUUUCAUCCCUGUGAAAAGUCACUGGCUGCCUACUCCAUGUAAUCCACUAACACUCUUAUACAUUUCAAUCAGGUCUGUCCUCGGCCUCCACUACUCCAGAGAAAAUAAUCCUAAUUUGUCCAACCUCUCCCUAAAGCACACAAUAAUAUGGGCAGCAUACCAAUAAGCUUCCCUGUACUCUCUCCAAGGCCACUGCAUCCUUCCUACAAUGGGGUGACCAGAAUUGAAUGCAGUACUUCAGAUGUGGCCUAACCAGCGUUUUUAAAAUUACUCAAGCCUCUGUAACUGUGGCAAGAUACAUUUGACUCUUGAUCUCAGUAUCACGAGUAAUAACGACUAUGUCCUCACCUUCGCCACUUCUGUGUAUUAUUCACUUGUAUCCUUGAUACCGCAGAAACUUAAAUUAACACUGGAUAAUUCCUCAAUGGAUGGUUCCUUGUUCAACCAUACCCUUUCCAGUAUUUACUGUUAGGAGUGAUGCCUAAUGUAACAUUUGUCAUCUGACAUAUUUCAAGUUUCUGAGACCUUGUUACGCAGGGAGCUGGAAAUCUGAGCAAUAGGGAGAUUAUAGCUGGAAAUGUCCAUUUAAUAUUGCCCAAUAUAUUUUAAGGAGACAUGCAUGCUUUUGUCGUUGGAAUAAAGCUUAAACUCCAAUACUUCUCCAUUUCAGUUUAAGAUGGCACUGGUGAUGCCCGGCGACUACUUACUGGCAGCAAAGGCAAAGCAAAGAAAGCUACUAAAUACCUUAUUAAUAAUACUUUAUUGACAGCAAUCAACGCUAACAAUGGAGAGGAGUUUGUGGAGUGGUGCCCAAGGAAGGAUACUCGCAGAAUGCUGCUCGAAGGAGAGACCCAUUGUAAGAAGUGCUUUGUGCAGAAGAAUGAUUCCAGCAAGAAGUACCAAUACUCCUGAGUUUGCCAGUUCGUUCAAAAUGGUGUUCGAGGGAAUCUCGAACUGUGGCUGGUGUCUGUCAUGCAGAACACUGGUUCAGCGUGUGAGUAAUCAGAGCGAAGCACCCAAUUACUCCAGUAAUGAGCUCCAACAUGCAUGUGCACACUUAGACUGGUUUAACUGUACAGGGUCCUUCUCUCCCUUUUUGUUAAGGUCCAAAUAUCUGUAAAUACACUUUCACUUUAAUUUGAUGCUGGGGUAAGGUCUAUUAUUUAUGGGUGAAUGAUAAUUUUGUAUCUGGCAGCAUUUACACAGACUUCACCGCAAUUUUCUUUCCCUCAUUGGAACAUUCCAACUUCCCUGACUGGCUGAACCUGAAGCACACCAACCCUAGAAGUGUGUUGCUUACAGGAGGUGGCCUUCUCACCGUUACCCGUGCAAUACUGCGUCACGUGGCUGUCAGCCAGAGAUAGCUAAUGGGCCCAGUUUGUCACAAGCCACGGUGAGAGAGUGACACACAAAUGGUUGAAUGAUAACUAAACUUGAACUUGGAGCUUUGAGGAAAUGAUUCCAUGUGGCAACAACUGCAGGAAAAACGAGGGAAAGUAAAGAGGAGGAAAAAUAUAUGCCACCAUUACUCCAUUCCUACCCUCCCAAAU
Molecule: long non-coding RNA, 19792 nt
Organism: Hypanus sabinus (Atlantic stingray)
Lineage: Eukaryota; Metazoa; Chordata; Chondrichthyes; Myliobatiformes; Dasyatidae
Exons: 3
Source: RefSeq, a predicted model, not a curated record